CUUUGGAGGAGCCAGUGAACUUUGUGGACAGUUGGAGUUGAGGGCUAGGGAGAGGAGGUCGAGGAGAAAUUCAUCAGGGAGAAAGAGUAGGCCUCUUGUGAAACAGAGCAUUGAGAUGAGGCGUGAAACCAUUAUCCGCAGCCUUAUACUGUACCUUGGCGAGAAGGAAGAGAAACUUUUUGAAGACUGCUUGGAGGACAGCCGGAGUGAUGUCAGUAACCACAUCCUCAAAAUACUCGUCGUCCACGGUGCUGAUGAGGAUCCAGUCGAUGUCUCCAUCCUUACUAGUGGGUUGCCUGUCAUAAAUGUUUUUCAUUUUUUGUCAAAUAAGGUAUCUGUUAAUGACAGUAAAGAUUGUAUUCUUCAACAAGAAUGUUUAGACACCUUAAGCUGUUUAUUUUUAGUUGAUUCUGUUGAUUUUAUUUCAUUAAUGUUUUAAUUGCAUACUUAAAAGUGCACUAGUCAGAGGACUGGUUUAAAUGUUGAAAUUGCACUUUUUCAGUGUGUAGGUUUGUAAGAUUUUAAUUGCAUAUUUGAGAAGUGACUAUGUUACCAGAUCUAUGUUGGAUUUGGUGUAUAAUGUGUAAUACUGUGUAUUUGUUGUUUACCAGUCAUACCAACCUUUGGAUAUUUUCUUUAAAAAAUAUACUAUUACUACUAUUUACUUUGAAUACCUUUUGCUGGAGAUACAUCUUUAAUUUACUGUUAGUACAAAUUCUAAUGCAGUACAAUACAAUGCACUUUUACUAUUAACGCAGUACUUGUACAGUACAUUCUGUUUUUCCCCUCAUUUAAAUAGGGGUAUACAUAAUCCAUACACCACUGCUCAAAGUUUAAGAGGCGGUUUCUGUCCUGACCCUCUCCCAGAAGUUGUUGUUGAGUAUUAUAUUUCUGCAAUGAAUGUAGAAACUCUGUUUCAGAGGGUUGUAAGAUUGAAUUAAAAA
Molecule: long non-coding RNA, 944 nt
Organism: Entelurus aequoreus (snake pipefish)
Lineage: Eukaryota; Metazoa; Chordata; Actinopteri; Syngnathiformes; Syngnathidae
Exons: 3
Source: RefSeq, a predicted model, not a curated record